GGGAGAGUAGCUUAGUUUGGUGGAGCAUUCGACUGAUAAUCGAAAGGUCGAGGGUUCAAAUCCCUCCUUUCCCA
RNAcentral lists this transfer RNA (74 nucleotides) under Candidatus Diapherotrites archaeon CG10_big_fil_rev_8_21_14_0_10_31_34. Its description in RNAcentral is "tRNA-Ile". It matches the Rfam family "tRNA". From Rfam's summary of the family: Transfer RNA (tRNA) molecules are approximately 80 nucleotides in length. Their secondary structure includes four short double-helical elements and three loops (D, anti-codon, and T loops). RNAcentral also lists the same sequence under 1 other name. The record is from RNAcentral. Lineage: Archaea; Nanobdellati; Candidatus Iainarchaeota.